CACAAGGCACCAAGAUUAUUCUGCCAGUUAGUUAUUUGAUAAAAAAUUUAUUUUUGAAUCCACCUUAAAUUUGAGAAACAAAAUUUUGCCGUCGUUACCAAAAAUUUUAGAUUUGGAAAGGGGUACGAUGCCAAAAGUAAUCCCGAAGGCUGCCAGUGUUGCUCGUAAACAAUGCUAUUUAAUUUAAUUACUGAAAUGGACAAAGUGCAGUAAUGCGAGACUCGGAAUCAAACCGGUGAAAAAGGUAGCCGCUCUAUUGUCUGGACAACAGCUGUUUAGUUUAUUACUUACAAAACAUUCUGAUAGCAACAUUUUUGCCAAAACCAGAGCACCUACAAACGAAAUCAAAAGAUUUUGCCCAAAUCGAAAUCGAAAAAAUUACGAUUACCGGGCUUGCCUGAAUAAAAUAAAAUAAUAUCGCAACA
Drosophila sechellia is the source of this 425-nucleotide long non-coding RNA. RefSeq lists it as uncharacterized. The transcript has 2 exons. The record is from RefSeq and is a predicted model, not a curated record. NCBI's taxonomy places the organism in Eukaryota, Metazoa, Arthropoda, Insecta, Diptera, Drosophilidae.